Molecule: ribosomal RNA, 253 nt
Filed under: uncultured bacterium
Lineage: Bacteria
Description: partial 16S ribosomal RNA
Rfam family: Bacterial small subunit ribosomal RNA
Source: RNAcentral
UACAGAGGAUGCAAGCGUUAUCCGGAAUGAUUGGGCGUAAAGCGUCUGUAGGUGGCUUUUUAAGUCCGCCGUCAAAUCCCAGGGCUCAACUCUGGACAGGCGGUGGAAACUACCAAGCUGGAGUACGGUAGGGGCAGAGGGAAUUUCCGGUGGAGCGGUGAAAUGCGUAGAGAUCGGGCGGAACACCAGCGGCGAGGGCGGCAUCCUGGUCCUGUUCUGACGCUGAGGCGCGAGAGCGUGGGGAGCGAACUGG